UCAAAGUAGAUGAUGCAUUUGGUGUAGACACUACAAAAAAAUGGUUUUUCAGUGGAGGUUAUUCUGUGAGAGUUAUGAAAGCCCUCCACAAAUUAACAUUGUAUAAGAGAGUUAAAAGGAUUUACUUAAACGCUCAUGAUACCGGAGGUUUUAAUUGUUUACUAAAGAGGUUUUUGACCUCCCUAAAUUAAAAUACAAUUUUCACCGUUCUAACUUCUCGUUUACACUCAAAUUUUCCUAAAUUAAUUAUCCCUCCAUUCUUUUCCCCCUUUUCCAAGCCAAACUUUCAUUCUUUUUUCCUCACAUUUUCCCCUUUCCCCCAAUACGCACCUCUCAUCUUUACCCUAAAAGUUUCCACUCAACCAUUUGAUUUCUCCAGGAACGCAGCUCGUCCUCAUUUCUCCUCAACGAACGCAACUCCCGCAACCUAGCUCAUCCUUGCAACGAAUACAGCUCCUGCAACGCUGCUCAUAAUCAUUUUGUGGUCUCCGUUGUCAUCUAGGGUUCAUCUCUGUCGCUAGUUGUUGUUGUCGUUACGGUCGCCGAUUCAUUCUGAGUUGUGGUGGUCGUCGAUUCCUUUGUUGCAGUGGUGGCCGUUGCGUCCUUAGUUGCAGUUGCCGUUGAGUUACCUCGUUCCCCCAUUUUGAAAGGUAAUAAAAUCAGUUUUAGGUUAUUGGUUUUAUUCUGAAUGUGGACUACUGUUUUCUGGGUGUUAUUUUUGUGUAUUCUGCCUUAUUCAUAUUUGUGAUCUAUUUUGGCUUUCAUCUAUAUUGUUAGAGUUGGAGUGGUGAUUUCCUUGGCAAAGUGCUUAUCUUUUAGCUUAUGAAAUUGAAUUCAAAUGUGCUUAAGUUUCUUGUAGUGUUUGAGUUGGCUGCCUGGAUGAAAUUUUAGAGGUUGAUAGAUUGAGGAUAUAUAAAGGCUACCUAACAUCCACAUAUGUUUUCUUUUAUGUUUAUGUAUUUGUAGUGCUUAACUUUAGUGGAUAGAAAACUGAAAUCAUUCCCCUGUGAUAAAGAAAUCAUUAAUACUUGCAUAACUUUCCCCUGUGAUAAAGAAAUCUUUAAUAACAAAAGUAAAGAAUCCAUUUCAGCUUUCGGUGCAUUGACCUGAGGAAGAAAAC
RNAcentral lists this long non-coding RNA (1120 nucleotides) under Vigna radiata. Its description in RNAcentral is "long non-coding RNA (VRAD_LNC015267)". The record is from RNAcentral. Lineage: Eukaryota; Viridiplantae; Streptophyta; Magnoliopsida; Fabales; Fabaceae.